Long non-coding RNA from Cyprinus carpio (common carp), 1089 nucleotides. NCBI's taxonomy places the organism in Eukaryota, Metazoa, Chordata, Actinopteri, Cypriniformes, Cyprinidae. The record is from Ensembl.
AUGACACUUUGUGUAUUUGUGUGUGUGUCAUCUUCUAGGUCAGUCCAUCCUAGAGUUGCAGAAAUAAAAUCCCUUCUAGUCAUAAAUGGUCUUUGGGAAAUGGUAUUCUUGCACUUUCUAUCUCUUUCCUGGGAAUUGUUCUGUAUUUGCUCUUUCUGCAACAGCUCUACUGAGACCAGUUUAUUGUUUAUUGUUUUCAUUUGUGGUUUUUCUGCCUUUGAGAGCAUCCAGAUCACACUGCCAAAAGCGUCCAGGCCGUGUCCACAGUCACCAGCCGAGAGUCUGACACAAACCACCAACCCCCCUCCAGCCCCUGUCUCCACCCAUCACACCCUCCAAUUUCAGGACUGCAUCCCAAGCCUGGCAUUCCAUCUGUGCAGCUCUGCAUCUCCUUACCGUUCUGCCUGUCCAUCCCAAAAAGCACACAGAGAGGAGCUGCAUUCCAGGGGUGUGAGUUUAUCCCUUUAAAUCACUGUGUUUCUGGGAGUCUGCUGCAGUUAUCUAAAUCCUGAUGUUCAGAAAUUCACAUUAACCCCUUGCCAAGAGCUGAUCAAGUACUGCACAUCGGUCCGAUGCAUCAUUUGACCCAUGAUGCCCCCAAGAUCACACACCCUUCCACUCAGGGUCAUCCAGGCAUGCAUAAGGGAUAAGAGGCUUCAGCUUCAAUCAUAUAGCCUCUUUCUGUACAACUGGAUGCUCGUGUCAGUUUCAAAGAAAUCUGAAUAAUGCAGAGUUAGUUAAAACAUUAAGACGACAUUUUUUUCUUCUUUUUCUUCUUUUCAGUCUUAAAGCUAAAGUGUCAUUUGAUGUUUUAAACUACUAGAAUGUAUCCUUUUGUAGGCUGAUUCCCCUGAAACGUGUAAACACUGAGGUGCUAUCAAAACAUUGUUGUGUUUGUUCGAGAAUCCCUACCAGUCCGACAUAGCAACACUGGCUCAACCAGUGGUGGGAGUCUGGGGUGGGGACAUUUUUUUUUUUUAACCAAUGGGAUAUUAUGAAAAGUGUUUAGGAAACCUGUAUUAAGAUUUUGCGUUGCAUGCUAGUGGUGCAGAAAUGAUACACUGUAAUAAAUUUGAAAUUCAUAUGACA